This 737-nucleotide ribosomal RNA is filed under the name uncultured euryarchaeote. RNAcentral's name for it is "bacterial SSU rRNA". It matches the Rfam family "Archaeal small subunit ribosomal RNA", at positions 1 to 747 of the family's 1478-position model. The record is from RNAcentral. Lineage: Archaea; Methanobacteriati; Methanobacteriota.
UUCCGGUUGAUCCUGCCGGAGGCUACCGCUAUUGGAGUUCGAUUAAGCCAUGCGAGUCGCGAGUCUUAGGGACUCGGCGUACCGCUCAGUAACACGUGGGUAACCUGCCCUAUGCUGGGGGAUAACCUCGGGAAACUGAGAAUAAUACCCCAUAGUUCACCACGCCUGGAACGGUGGGUGGAUCAAAGCUCCGGCGGCAUAGGAUGGGCCUGCGGCGUAUCAGGUUGUAGGGGGUGUAAUGUACCCUCUAGCCCUCUACGCGUACGGGUGUUGAGAGACAUCGCCCGGAGAUGGAUUCUGAGACACGAAUCCAGACCCUACGGGGUGCAGCAGGCGCGAAAACUUGGCAAUGCGAGAAAUCGUGACCAGGGAACUCCAAGUGCAUCGGGUAAGACCGAUGCUUUUCUUGACUCUUCAAAGGUCUUGGAAUAAGGGGUGGGUAAGGACGGUGCCAGCCGCCGCGGUAAUACCGGCGCCCCAAGUGGUAGUCGCUUUUAUUGGGCCUAAAACGUCCGUAGCCUGUCUGGUACAUUCGUGGGUAAAUCAACCAGCUCAACUGGUUGAAUUCUGCGAGCACGGCCAGACUUGGGACCGGGAGAGGUGUGGGGUACUCUCAGGGUAGGGGUAAAAUCCUGUCAUCCUGAGAGGACCACCUGUUGCGAAGGCGCCACACUAGAACGGAUCCGACGGUCAGGACGAAGCCUAGGGGCACGAACCGGAUUAGAUACCCGUAGUCC